This 483-nucleotide ribosomal RNA is filed under the name Triticum aestivum (bread wheat). Its description in RNAcentral is "partial small subunit ribosomal RNA". The record is from RNAcentral. Lineage: Eukaryota; Viridiplantae; Streptophyta; Magnoliopsida; Poales; Poaceae.
AUGGCCUCCACCGACAGCUGGACCCACGAGAUCGAAUCGCCGGUCGCCGCACCGCGCCUCUUUCGCGCCGGCGUCAUGGACUGGCACACACUAGCCCCCAAGCUCGCACCACACAUCGUCGCCAGCGCCCACCCCGUUGAGGGCGAAGGCGACAUCGGGAGCGUCAGGCAGUUCAACUUCAACUCAGCCAUGCCCUUCAGCCUCAUGAAAGAGAGGCUCGAGUUCAUCGACGCCGACAAGUGCGAGUGCAAGUCCACCCUCAUCGAGGGCGGCGGCAUCGGCACCGCCAUCGAGACGGCCACCUCGCACAUCAAGGUGGAGCCGGCGGCCAACGGUGGGAGUGUCGUUAAGGUGGAGUCGACCUACAAGCUGCUGCCGGGCGUGGAGGUGAACGAUGAGAUCACCAAGGCCAAGGAGUCUGUCACGGCCAUCUUCAAGGCCGCCGAGGCCUACCUCGUCGCCAACCCGGACGCCUACAACUGA